This 247-nucleotide ribosomal RNA is filed under the name uncultured bacterium. Its description in RNAcentral is "partial small subunit ribosomal RNA". It matches the Rfam family "Bacterial small subunit ribosomal RNA", at positions 26 to 286 of the family's 1533-position model. The record is from RNAcentral.
AGAAUCAACGCUGGCGGCGUGCCUAACACAUGCAAGUCGAACGAGAAAGGGGAGCAAUCCCUGAGUAAAGUGGCGCACGGGUGAGUAACACGUGACUAACCUACCCUGGAGUGGGGGAUAACUGAGGGAAAACCUUAGCUAAUACCGCAUAAUACCUACGGGUCAAAGGAGCAAUUCGCUUCAGGAGGGGGUCGCGGCCGAUUAGUUAGUUGGCGGGGUAAUGGCCCACCAAGACGAUGAUCGGUAU